CGAGGGUGCAAGCGUUGCUCGGAAUUAUUGGGCGUAAAGGGCAGGUAGGUGGUCUCAUUUGGUCUGGGGUGAAAGCCUUGAGCUUAACUCAAGAGUGCCCCGGAAACGGUGAGACUAGAGUAUCGGAGAGGGUGGUGGAAUUCCCAGUGUAGCGGUGAAAUGCGUAGAGAUUGGGAGGAACACCAGAGGCGAAGGCGGCCACCUGGACGAUGACUGACACUCAACUGCGAAAGCGUGGGGAGCAAACAGGAUUAGAUACCCUGGUAGUCCACGCUGUAAACGAUGGGUACUAGGCUGGGCGGGUCUUGACCCCUGCUGAGCCGGAGCUAACGCACUAAGUACCCCGCCUGGGAAGUACGGUCGCAAGACUA
Molecule: ribosomal RNA, 371 nt
Filed under: uncultured organism
Description: bacterial SSU rRNA
Rfam family: Bacterial small subunit ribosomal RNA
Source: RNAcentral